GAUGAACGCUGGCGGCGUGUCUAAUACAUGCAAGUCGAGCGAACGGACGAGAAGCUUGCUUCUCUGAUGUUAGCGGCGGACGGGUGAGUAACACGUGGAUAACCUACCUAUAAGACUGGGAUAACUUCGGGAAACCGGAGCUAAUACCGGAUAAUAUUUUGAACCGCAUGGUUCAAAAGUGAAAGACGGUCUUGCUGUCACUUAUAGAUGGAUCCGCGCUGCAUUAGCUAGUUGGUAAGGUAACGGCUUACCAAGGCAACGAUGCAUAGCCGACCUGAGAGGGUGAUCGGCCACACUGGAACUGAGACACGGUCCAGACUCCUACGGGAGGCAGCAGUAGGGAAUCUUCCGCAAUGGGCGAAAGCCUGACGGAGCAACGCCGCGUGAGUGAUGAAGGUCUUCGGAUCGUAAAACUCUGUUAUUAGGGAAGAACAUAUGUGUAAGUAACUGUGCACAUCUUGACGGUACCUAAUCAGAAAGCCACGGCUAACUACGUGCCAGCAGCCGCGGUAAUACGUAGGUGGCAAGCGUUAUCCGGAAUUAUUGGGCGUAAAGCGCGCGUAGGCGGUUUUUUAAGUCUGAUGUGAAAGCCCACGGCUCAACCGUGGAGGGUCAUUGGAAACUGGAAAACUUGAGUGCAGAAGAGGAAAGUGGAAUUCCAUGUGUAGCGGUGAAAUGCGCAGAGAUAUGGAGGAACACCAGUGGCGAAGGCGACUUUCUGGUCUGUAACUGACGCUGAUGUGCGAAAGCGUGGGGAUCAAACAGGAUUAGAUACCCUGGUAGUCCACGCCGUAAACGAUGAGUGCUAAGUGUUAGGGGGUUUCCGCCCCUUAGUGCUGCAGCUAACGCAUUAAGCACUCCGCCUGGGGAGUACGACCGCAAGGUUGAAACUCAAAGGAAUUGACGGGGACCCGCACAAGCGGUGGAGCAUGUGGUUUAAUUCGAAGCAACGCGAAGAACCUUACCAAAUCUUGACAUCCUUUGACAACUCUAGAGAUAGAGCUUUCCCCUUCGGGGGACAAAGUGACAGGUGGUGCAUGGUUGUCGUCAGCUCGUGUCGUGAGAUGUUGGGUUAAGUCCCGCAACGAGCGCAACCCUUAAGCUUAGUUGCCAUCAUUAAGUUGGGCACUCUAAGUUGACUGCCGGUGACAAACCGGAGGAAGGUGGGGAUGACGUCAAAUCAUCAUGCCCCUUAUGAUUUGGGCUACACACGUGCUACAAUGGACAAUACAAAGGGCAGCGAAACCGCGAGGUCAAGCAAAUCCCAUAAAGUUGUUCUCAGUUCGGAUUGUAGUCUGCAACUCGACUACAUGAAGCUGGAAUCGCUAGUAAUCGUAGGUCAGCAUGCUACGGUGAAUACGUUCCCGGGUCU
RNAcentral lists this ribosomal RNA (1372 nucleotides) under uncultured bacterium. Its description in RNAcentral is "bacterial SSU rRNA". It matches the Rfam family "Bacterial small subunit ribosomal RNA", at positions 28 to 1381 of the family's 1533-position model. The record is from RNAcentral.